RNAcentral lists this ribosomal RNA (230 nucleotides) under uncultured bacterium. RNAcentral describes it as "partial 16S ribosomal RNA". It matches the Rfam family "Bacterial small subunit ribosomal RNA", at positions 562 to 791 of the family's 1533-position model. The record is from RNAcentral.
AAAGCGUGCGCAGGCGGUUGUGUAAGUCUGAUGUGAAAGCCCCGGGCUCAACCUGGGAACUGCAUUGGAGACUGCACGGCUAGAGUGCGUCAGAGGGGGGUAGAAUUCCGCGUGUAGCAGUGAAAUGCGUAGAGAUGCGGAGGAAUACCGAUGGCGAAGGCAGCCCCCUGGGAUGACACUGACGCUCAUGCACGAAAGCGUGGGGAGCAAACAGGAUUAGAUACCCUUGU